CGAGUUAGUCAUCGACCAUACAAGCUAUGUGUAUGGCAAUGCAGAUCGAUUUGCAUUUUCUUUUCUUUUUUCCGUACUCUUUUCUUAUGGGCAGUACCCCAUCAUGAGCAUGUGCGGUUUUGCUAUAAUUUCCAAAACCUAGUAGUAUAGGAUACCUCUGUCAUGUCCUUACCACCAAUCGCCAACGUACGUAGUCAAAUGCUAUGCUAUGUUAGUAUUCGAGGGUGGUAUUAUUACAAUAUGUUAUCAUUGUCAUUGAGAAGUAAUUUCGGAAACUUGGCAAAACAACCCCAACGAAUCAUCCUGGGUGGACUGCUUUGAGAUUUUGAGAUGUUAUGCGACGUC
This 345-nucleotide long non-coding RNA is filed under the name Brachypodium distachyon (stiff brome). RNAcentral's name for it is "long non-coding RNA (BDIS_LNC005563)". Lineage: Eukaryota; Viridiplantae; Streptophyta; Magnoliopsida; Poales; Poaceae. The record is from RNAcentral.